This 433-nucleotide ribosomal RNA is filed under the name uncultured bacterium. RNAcentral's name for it is "partial 16S ribosomal RNA". It matches the Rfam family "Bacterial small subunit ribosomal RNA", at positions 29 to 507 of the family's 1533-position model. The record is from RNAcentral.
AACGAACGCUGGCGGCAUGCCUAACACAUGCAAGUCGAACGAGACCUUCGGGUCUAGUGGCGCACGGGUGCGUAACGCGUGGGAACCUGCCCUUAGGUUCGGAAUAACUCCCCGAAAGGGGUGCUAAUACCGGAUAAUGUCUUCGGACCAAAGAUUCAUCGCCUUUGGAUGGGCCCGCGUUGGAUUAGCUAGUUGGUAGGGUAAAAGCCUACCAAGGCGACGAUCCAUAGCUGGUCUGAGAGGAUGAUCAGCCACACUGGGACUGAGACACGGCCCAGACUCCUACGGGAGGCAGCAGUGGGGAAUAUUGGACAAUGGGCGAAAGCCUGAUCCAGCUAUGCCGCGUGAGUGAUGAAGGCCUUAGGGUUGUAAAGCUCUUUUACCCGGGAUGAUAAUGACAGUACCGGGAGAAUAAGCUCCGGCUAACACCGUG